RNAcentral lists this ribosomal RNA (468 nucleotides) under uncultured bacterium. RNAcentral describes it as "partial 16S ribosomal RNA". It matches the Rfam family "Bacterial small subunit ribosomal RNA", at positions 28 to 507 of the family's 1533-position model. The record is from RNAcentral.
GACGAACGCUGGCGGCGUGCUUAACACAUGCAAGUCGAACGGAAAGGCCCUGCUUUUGUGGGGUGCUCGAGUGGCGAACGGAUGAGUAACACGUGAGUAACCUGCCCUUGACUUUGGGAUAACUUCAGGAAACUGGGGCUAAUACCGGAUAGGAGCUCCUGCUGCAUGGUGGGGGUUGGAAAGUUUCGGCGGUUGGGGAUGGACUCGCGGCUUAUCAGCUCGUUGGUGGGGUAGUGGCUUACCAAGGCUUUGACGGGUAGCCGGCCUGAGAGGGUGACCGGCCACAUUGGGACUGCGAUACGGCCCAGACUCCUACGGGAGGCAGCAGUGGGGAAUAUUGCACAAUGGGCGGACGCCUGAUGCAGCAACGCCGCGUGCGGGAUGACGGCCUUCGGGUUGUAAACCGCUUUCGCCUGUGACGAAGCGUGAGUGACGGUAAUGGGUAAAGAAGCACCGGCUAACUACGUG